Molecule: ribosomal RNA, 253 nt
Filed under: uncultured bacterium
Lineage: Bacteria
Description: partial 16S ribosomal RNA
Rfam family: Bacterial small subunit ribosomal RNA
Source: RNAcentral
UACGUAGGGGGCAAGCGUUGUCCGGAUUUAUUGGGCGUAAAGAGCGUGUAGGCGGCCAGAUAGGUCCGUUGUGAAAACUAGAGGCUUAACCUCUAGACGUCGAUGGAAACUGUUUGGCUAGAGUCCGGAAGAGGAGAAUGGAAUUCCUGGUGUAGCGGUGAAAUGCGCAGAUAUCAGGAAGAACACCCGUGGCUAAGGCGGUUCUCUAGUACGGUACUGACGCUGAGACGCGAAAGCGUGGGGAGCGAACAGG